GACGAACGCUGGCGGCGUGCUUAACACAUGCAAGUCGAACGGAAAGGCCCGUGCUUUCUUUGGGGCUCGAGUGGGGAACGGGUGAGUAACACGUGGGUGAACUGCCCUUCACUUUGGGGUAAGCUUUUGAAACUGGGGCUAAUACCGGAUAUGAACUGCCUCCACUGGGGGGGGGGGGGAGAUUCGGCGGUUGGGGAUGGGGUCGCGGCUUAUCAGCUUGUUGGUGGGGUAGUGGCUUACCAAGGCGUUGACGGGUAGCCGGCCUGAGAGGGUGACCGGCCACAUUGGGACUGAGAUACGGCCCAGACUCCUACGGGAGGCAGCAGUGGGGAAUAUUGCACAAUGGGCGGAAGCCUGAUGCAGCAACGCCGCGUGCGGGAUGACGGCCUUCGGGUUGUAAACCGCUUUCGCCUGUGACGAAGCGUGAGUGACGGUAAUGGGUAAAGAAGCACCGGCUAACUACGUG
Molecule: ribosomal RNA, 466 nt
Filed under: uncultured bacterium
Lineage: Bacteria
Description: partial 16S ribosomal RNA
Rfam family: Bacterial small subunit ribosomal RNA
Source: RNAcentral